GAUGCUGAAAAAUAUGCCUGCACUGGAGAGAUCCUGUGGCUCCGCUCCUGUCUCAAGGAACAGAUAAUUCCUGUAGACCUAAUCGAGUUACUACUUAAGUCGACCGGUGAGAAUUGCCUUGCUCUAUCGAGUCCGGCCUUUAGCAAAGUUACCCGAAUGCUAUGGUGUAAGCAAGGUGCGCGAAGGUGGUAGAGGGCAUUUACAAGCUUUGAUGAGUAGAUCUAUUGUAUCGCCUCCAUCUCCCAUCUCAUCUCCUCAGAAUGAAUUUGAGUCUAAGUUUCCGCCUGGAUUUUUCUUCUCUUUUAGACUAUGGAUUUGAGUUUGCUUCAGGAUUCGCAAUCGAUGAUGAUGCCAUUAUCAAUCAGAACGAAAGAAUUUGGCUUUUUGGCUCCAAAAUCUACCCAUUGGGUCUCAAAGAAUAGAUAAUUAUACCCACUUUACGACUCGAAGAAAUAUGAGCCAAAUUUGAGCCCGACACCUGACCAUUCUUGAAAGAG
RNAcentral lists this long non-coding RNA (497 nucleotides) under Olea europaea (common olive). Its description in RNAcentral is "long non-coding RNA (OEUR_LNC010576)". The record is from RNAcentral. Lineage: Eukaryota; Viridiplantae; Streptophyta; Magnoliopsida; Lamiales; Oleaceae.